UACGUAGGGGGCAAGCGUUGUCCGGAAUCAUUGGGCGUAAAGAGCGUGUAGGCGGCCAGGUAGGUCUGGUGUGAAAACUCGAGGCUUAACCUCGAGAUGUCAUCGGAAACCAUUUGGCUAGAGUCCGGAAGAGGAGAGUGGAAUUCCUGGUGUAGCGGUGAAAUGCGCAGAUAUCAGGAAGAACACCAAUGGCGAAAGCAGCUCUCUGGGACGGUACUGACGCUGAGACGCGAAAGCGUGGGGAGCGAACAGG
Molecule: ribosomal RNA, 253 nt
Filed under: uncultured bacterium
Lineage: Bacteria
Description: partial 16S ribosomal RNA
Rfam family: Bacterial small subunit ribosomal RNA
Source: RNAcentral